This is a non-coding RNA of Arachis ipaensis, 628 nucleotides long. NCBI's taxonomy places the organism in Eukaryota, Viridiplantae, Streptophyta, Magnoliopsida, Fabales, Fabaceae. The record is from RefSeq and is a predicted model, not a curated record.
CCCUUGAAAUUGCAUACUUGCAUGGAAUUAUAUGAAGAGCACUACAGAUUUUCAAAAAACUCACUAAAAGUGUUGACUGUGUAGUCAAAAAAGUCAUAGGUGCAGUUUGCCUUUAAUGAAGAAAGUUAAGAGUAAAGGAAGGCGCUUUAUUUUGUAGAUUGUUCCCUCCUUCUUUAUGAGCUAAUGCCUUUUUCAUAUUCAUCAUUAUAUUUUGUUAUGUAAUGCCUUCUGGAUUCCACUUCACAACCACCAUCAACAGCCAUGGAACUAAUUAACUCAUCAAGCACUCCAUGAAGGAAAGCUCUGCAAUCUGCAUGCAGCAUGAAUCUGCCACAACACAACACAGGGUCCCUCUAUCUUAUUUUCUAUAUCCCGGUGUGAAGAGUGUUCCAUAAUGUCACCAGCUGAGAGAGGGAGGAUAGUUGAUCCUGUACUGUAUUCAGAACUGGCUGGAGAGUCUUCAUACAGAUCCAUUUGCCUGAAUCAUAUUUAAAAAAUAUUAGUAUUCUUGUUAAGCAUACAGGAAAUUAUAUUUUUAAAGUCUUUAAAGUACCUCCAACAUGGCUGGCCUCCCUCAUUACUACUCAAGUCUUCAACCAUAUUUUUAAGAUCAGCAAGCUUUUAAACC